Molecule: ribosomal RNA, 460 nt
Filed under: uncultured bacterium
Lineage: Bacteria
Description: partial 16S ribosomal RNA
Rfam family: Bacterial small subunit ribosomal RNA
Source: RNAcentral
CCUACGGGAGGCAGCAGUGAGGAAUAUUGGGCAAUGGACGAGAGUCUGAACCAGCCAAGUAGCGUGAAGGAUGACUGCCCUAUGGGUUGUAAACUUCUUUUAUAUGGGAAUAAAACGUUCCACGUGUGGGUUUUUGUAUGUACCAUAUGAAUAAGGACAGGCUAACUCCGUGCCAGCAGCCGCGCUAAGACGGAGGAGCCGAGCGUUGUGCGGAUUUAUUGGGUUUAAAGGAAGCGUAGGUGGAGUGUUAAGUCAGUUGUGAAAGUUUGCGGCUCAACCGUAAAAUUGCAGUUGAAACUGGCAGUCUUGAGUACAGUAGAGGUGGGCAGAAUUCGUGGUGUAGCGGUGAAAUGCUUAGAUAUCACGAAGAACUCCGAUUGCGAAGGCAGUUCACUGGACUGCAACUGACACUGAGGCGCGAAAGUGUGGGUAUCAAACAGGAUUAGAUACCCCUGUAGUC